UGUCUUACAGUUCAAAAUAACUGUCUGCCAGGAACCAACAAGAAAAGAUGGGUUUGCCCUGGUCAAAGAUUUAACAGUUUGUGUCUUUUCUCCUGAAGGUUUUCAGGAGAGAAUAAGUUACCCUCAGCUCAAUAAUUUAGAUGGUAAAGGACUUGAUCGAAUGUUUUUUAAGACCCCUUUCAUAUUAUUCUCUGCAGCUUAAUGAUUUUAAGGAUAAAAAUAUGGUAAUGGAAGUACUCUUACUAGAAUGAAGUGUUAUCUUAUUGGAACUUGCAUUUGGAAGAGUAACUGUUCCUGCUGCUAGGAACUGAGGCGCAUCAGAAAUUGUAACCUCAUCGUUGGUGUGCAGACCUUGGGAGAGCAGCAUCCAGCUCCCUUUUGUGGAUCUAGAUAGAAAAGAGUCCCAGUUUGUUUAAAGAUGAAUAAACUAAUUUAUUUAUUUUUUUAAAAUCCAGCCUUGGCAAAUGCAACAUUAUGUGUCCUUGAGCCUAUUAUGUCUGUGGAGGUUAUAGCCCCAAAUGAAUUUCAGGGAUCGGUGAUUGCAGGAAUUAACCGGCGCCAUGGGGUAAUCACCGGACAAGAUGGAAUUGAGGACUAUUUCACGUUAUAUGCAGACGUCCCUCUAAAUGAUAUGUUUGGUUAUUCCACUGAACUUAGGUCAUGCACAGAGGGAAAGGGAGAAUACACAAUGGAGUACUGCAGAUAUCAGCCGUGUUCACCGUCCACACAAGAAGGCCUCGUUAAUAAGUAUUUGGAAGCUACAGGUCAACUUCCUGUAAAAAAAGGAAAAGCCAAGAACUAACCUUUCUCACUUUAAGUUGACAAACUGAAUCUGCAAGGUUUAGAUACUUUAACGGAUUCCAGCGGAAUGGAUUCAAGCUGAAAUAAAUUUUAGAAGCCCUUCCUGUUUUGUUUAGGAGCUUCUAUUAUAUUCAAAGAUAAUUCUAUGUAUAUCUCAACUCGAUUGGUUUUAUGGUUCAUUGAAAAACCUCAUAAAAUAUGAUUAUUACUGAAAUAUAUUUAAUAUUUAUCUAAGGGGAGAAGAGACUAAUUUCAGUUAUACUUCUGAGCUUAGAAUAUAUGUAAACUUCCAUUCCAAAAUUUUUAUCAUAAGAAUUUUCAACAUAUAGAAAAGCUGAAACAAGCAGUAUAAAUAACAGCAUGUAUCUUCUAUCUAAACAACAAACAAUCUUGUUAACAGUUUAUCAGAUAGUAAUUUGUUUUGUCAUAUUUGCUUUAUCUGUUUGUCUAUCAUUUGCCUACCUAUCUCUUUAUUUAAAAAUUUUUUUUUAAUUAUUGUUUUGCUGAAUACUUGAAAGUGAAUUGCAUAAAUCAUGAUGCUUCUUGCAGUGUCCUUUUUUUUUUUUGUGCUGAGGAAGAUUUGCCCUGAGCUAGCAUCCAUGCCAGUCUUCCUCUAUUUUGUAUGUGGAUUGCCACCACAGCAUGGCUGCUGACAAGUGAUGUAGGUCUGCACCCGGGAACUGAACCCAGGCCACCAGAGUGGAGCCACCAGACUUAACCGCUAGGUCACCGGGCUGGCCCUGGAGUGUCAUCUUUUAAUGAGCAGCCUUUUUUGUUCGAGUGGAUUCCAUGUGUUCUUAAUGGAGGAUGUUUUUCAGAUUCUUCAUUGGGAUAGUAAAAUGCUAGCUAAAUUUCUAGCUGUUUUAUAUAUAACCAACUGCUUCAAUUUGUGACUUGUCCAAAUUUAUAACUGCCUUCCUUGCAGACCUGUGAAACGAAGAACAGCCCCUUGCGCAUGCUCUUCUUGUCUCUGUUCUUCUGAAUGUCUCUGCGGCUCUAAAAAGAAAAUAGAGUUUAAAGAGUUGCUGACCAGUCAGUUUCAUUCACGUAGUAAAUUCUAGUUGAAUUUGAGUCUGUUGGAAUUUAUCAUAUAUUGUAUUCAUGGAGAGUGUGAAAGAACAAAUGUUAAGCUUUUUUUCCUAGAAUGAGGUGGACUUUCCCAGGUACUUUUACCAUGCUGUUCCGAAUUGCUUCAUCCAAAAAAAUCAUCUGAUGUGAUAGAUAACAUCCUAGUCCUUUCUCUUGUGGACAGUAGAAAUAAAAUAACUUUUAAAUUCC
Equus caballus (horse) is the source of this 2079-nucleotide non-coding RNA. The record is from RefSeq and is a predicted model, not a curated record. NCBI's taxonomy places the organism in Eukaryota, Metazoa, Chordata, Mammalia, Perissodactyla, Equidae.